This is a long non-coding RNA of Hipposideros armiger (great roundleaf bat), 2203 nucleotides long. RefSeq lists it as uncharacterized. Lineage: Eukaryota; Metazoa; Chordata; Mammalia; Chiroptera; Hipposideridae. The transcript is spliced from 3 exons. The record is from RefSeq and is a predicted model, not a curated record.
AUUCCUUGUCAUCCCUGGGCUGAAGCCUGCAUACACGAGAGGAAUUCACAAUUAGCUCAGAAGUGGCCCGCUACCACUUACCGCUGACCUCAACCUGCAGCAGGCAGAAGGCAAGUGAUUGUGUCUGCAUACAUGCAGAUUUUUUUUUAAAUAAAACAGGAAAGUCCAUGAAACAAAAGGACGCAAUCCAGAAAACCAGCUUGUGGGAUCGUCUUUCAUUAGUUUUUGGUGUAUGAAGUAUUUUCUGACAUGGGUGAAAACCGAGGCAAAUAAUUUCGAUGUUGCUUUAAAAUAGACAUUUACUAUGAAUAAUGUUUAGUUUUAAAGACAGUUAUUAUUAUUAUUUUUUAUUUACCUUGAAUGUCUACUAAAAGCCAAUGGAGUGUUGUGGGAUUAUUCAGCUAAUUCAGGCCAAAAUGUUGAUUUCCCUUUAAAUAUUGAGAUAAUGGAAGAGAAAUCUAGCCACAUCUGACUUGUGUGGUUAGUGACCAACGACUGUUUCUGUGUUAGUUGGUAAAGUCUUUGUUGUACCCUCAAGUCAAGUCACAUAUCAGUGGAAAAGCAUUGCAGACUUGUUGUAAAAGAGGGUUUCAGCUUUCUGCCAAGAGCAUCUUCAGUGCCCACACUAGUUAGUAAUUUGGCUUCUAAAUGUUUCAGUCAAUCAGUAGUCAGCACUGAAGACAGAGAAAGAUGAAGUUUCCUCAUCUGGGUAUAAGAUGACUUCUGCUUUGGGCAGUUCCAGCUCCCGCCAUUCCCCAAGGGACCCCAUGGUUCAGUGAACCUCCUUGGUAUUCCCAAACCUGUCGGGAUGGUUUCCUCCUCCAGGACUCUCCAUCUGCUGUGUGUUCCUGACUUUGUUCUUUGGGCGCUGUCCUGACAGGAACCCCCUACGAGAACUCCCUACUUCUAUCCUCACCUCCUCCUUGAUGCCUUUCUGAUCAAUCCACCUUCCACCACAUCCCACGCUGAGAAAGGCCUCUCUCCUUUGGGCUCCAAUUUCAUCCUAUUCCCAUCUUUAAAAUGUCACUUUUCUCCUUUCAUCAGCCACAGACAUUUACUGAGUGCUGUAGUUCCUGCUUGGGUGGUGAGAAUUACAGACAGUUCCUGCCCUCACGGGGCUCAUAUUCUAGUUGAGGAGAAAGACAAUAAACACACAUAUGAAAUGAUGCUAGGUAAUGCAAUGACACAAAUAUUGAGAGGUUUUUCUCGCCUGACGCCCCCAGCACACUGUGACCUUUGAGAGCAAGUACUGGUGAACCUAGCCGAGGGCGGGACAUUUGUACAUCAGGUGUCAGUAGAUGUUGAAUGAAUGAGCAAACGAAAGGAGCAUUUAGUGGACUUUUAACUAUGUCCCCCGUCUUUCUAGCACUGGAGGAUGUAAAAGAAAUAAAAGUUCAUUUUACUUUACAGUUGGAAAGUUUUCUCUUCUGAAAGAAUAUCUUUGUGACAUUUUCAGAGAUAAUAAGGAAUCUUCCAUCUGACUAGGAAACAACAAGCAGUUUAUAUAGAAAAGGCACAUUGCUAGAAACAUCUGCCUGUUAAUUGAUUCAUCAUUCACCCACAAGACAUGUAAAAAAUGAUGGUUCUGUACCACAGGUUUUUAUUUCUAUUAAAUUCUAUGGCAUACAAUCUUGAACAAACAUUUGUAGUCAAUAUUUGGUAAAAAAGUCCAAUUCAAUCAAGUAAAUAAAGCAUUAGAAAAAAUUAUUUCAUUUCUUUGCUAAACUAAAGCCAUUAAGACUAAUACAAGUAGAAUUGAGGACAAAGGAUAUUUAAAACAAAACAAAACAGUGAGACCCAUUGCGUAUUUGCAUUUUAAAAUUAAUUGCUUCCCUAAUUAUUCAUCAGUAGAAGCAUAAAUUAAGCAAAUAUAACUUAGAGUAAGCUUUCAGACACCCAUAGGAUUCUCCCCUCAAGAGUAAAUUGUCCUAAUGGUUCACUGUGAUGGUUUAUUUUUGCUGUCUUUUCCAUGAUUGAGGAAAGAGGAGAUUGGAAAUGGAGCCUUAUGGAAAUGAAACAGACACUCCAGAAAAAGAGACAGACACAGCUACCCAACUCCUUCUACUCCUGGCACCAAUCUUCACUAUCACAACUAUCAGCGCAAUGCAGAAACGUGAGGAAAAUGAGAAGACUUGUGGAGAGGCCCAUAAGCUGUUGUCUGUCUUUGAGUCACAUGGAACCACUUGCAGGAAGAGCUCUAGAG